AAUGGCCAACCUGAUGGAAAAAUUCACUAAACUCCCUGUGCAACUUUUUGUCUCAAACUCUUCAUCUGCUCUUCAUACUAGAAGGAAGAUGCUCAUUUGAGAGACUUGGAGGAAACUGAAGUCAAGGUCAGAUAGAAGUUGCCCAUUAUCUUAUGACUCGGAGAUAUCUUACAUUUAACUUCCUGCCUAUUGUAUAAUGUUGAGAUUAAGUAACACUUUCAUUUUCUAUAUGUAUUUCUUCCAAGUCAUUCAAGUACUUCAUACAUUUAACAGCUAAACAUUCCCUCUUCUGACUGGAUCAUAGUAUAACUGUUUGCUGGGAACUGAAUGUUUGUUUCCACCCAAAAUUCAUGUAUUGAAAUCCUAACCCCCAAUAUGAUGUUAUUAGGAAGUCGGGCCUCUGGGAGGUAAUUAAGUCAUGAGGAUGGAGUCCCCAUGAAUGGGAUUAACACCCUUAUAAAAAGAAAUCAGAGCACUUGCUUUCUCUCUCUUUGUAAUCUACUAUGUAAGGACACAGUGAGAAGAUGGUCAUCUGCAAAUCGGAAAGACAGCUCUCACCUGAUACCAGAUCUGCUGGCACCUUGAUCUUGGACUUCUCAGCCUCCAUAACUAUGAGAAAUAAAUUUCUGUUGUUUCAGCCA
Long non-coding RNA from Macaca mulatta (Rhesus monkey), 641 nucleotides. RefSeq lists it as uncharacterized. The record is from RefSeq and is a predicted model, not a curated record. Lineage: Eukaryota; Metazoa; Chordata; Mammalia; Primates; Cercopithecidae.